GACGAAAAUGUUAAAAUUCAGUUGCUAUGACCUUUUGAAUUACUAUAAGUUGCAUCUACUAGCUUUAAGUUAUAAUUUAUUAUACAGUCUACCUACUAACUAUAUUUAGAUGCUCAAAUUUACAAGUUUGGACAAUCAUUUUCCAUAUAUGCAAUAAUCAAGUCAUUCAAAUAGGUCCAUUGUCAAUCAAUUUCAACUUGCACUUUAAAUGGCUAUACUAAAUUCUACAAAUAUUUAUAACACCUUAAAUCUCUUCAAUCACCCCACAUUUGUUGUAUUAUUUCAACCAUAUCAAAUUAUAUAUAUGCUCUUAAAUUUGGCAAUUUAAGGUUGAGUGAGUUCAAGGCACAAGAAGUGUACUUU
RNAcentral lists this long non-coding RNA (363 nucleotides) under Solanum tuberosum (potato). Its description in RNAcentral is "long non-coding RNA (STUB_LNC005077)". The record is from RNAcentral. Lineage: Eukaryota; Viridiplantae; Streptophyta; Magnoliopsida; Solanales; Solanaceae.